UGUAAUGUUACUCUAUCCAUCCACCCAUCCAUCCAUUUGAUUUACAUUGUAUCCUUAUUAUGGUCACAGCUGACCUGGAGCCUAUCCCGACUGACCUUUGGCAAGACAAGAAGUACAACCUCGGUUGGGCACCCAUCAAUCUCAGAGCACGUCAUGAAUCUAAUUGUGAAUUGGUCAUGCUCACCUUUCCACAGUGAAGGCUGUGAUGGAGCAGGAUGACACAUUGAUGCCCAAGUACUGCAGGACAACAAGGACCACCAUGAUAUUUCCCACAAUGCCAACACUACACACCAACAGGACCAAGAAGACAGACA
Molecule: long non-coding RNA, 314 nt
Organism: Hippocampus comes (tiger tail seahorse)
Lineage: Eukaryota; Metazoa; Chordata; Actinopteri; Syngnathiformes; Syngnathidae
Exons: 3
Source: RefSeq, a predicted model, not a curated record